UACGGGGGGAGCGAACGUUGUUCGGAAUUACUGGGCGUAAAGGGCGCGUAGGCGGCCUGCUAAGUCGAACGUGAAAUCCCUGGGCUCAACCCAGGAACUGCGUCCGAUACUGGUUGGCUUGAAUCCGGGAGAGGGAUGUGGAAUUCCAGGUGUAGCGGUGAAAUGCGUAGAUAUCUGGAGGAACACCGGUGGCGAAGGCGACAUCCUGGACCGGUAUUGACGCUGAGGCGCGAAAGCCAGGGGAGCAAACGGG
Molecule: ribosomal RNA, 253 nt
Filed under: uncultured bacterium
Lineage: Bacteria
Description: partial 16S ribosomal RNA
Rfam family: Bacterial small subunit ribosomal RNA
Source: RNAcentral